RNAcentral lists this transfer RNA (66 nucleotides) under Limbodessus wogarthaensis. RNAcentral describes it as "tRNA-Leu". The record is from RNAcentral. Lineage: Eukaryota; Metazoa; Arthropoda; Insecta; Coleoptera; Dytiscidae.
UUAUUACUUUGGCAGAUUAGUGUGAUAAAUUUAGGAUUUAUUUAUGUAAAUUUUUUACAGGUAAUA